UACGUAGGGGCAAGCGUUGUCCGGAUUUAUUGGGCGUAAAGAGCGUGUAGGCGGCCAGGUAGGUCGGUUGUGAAAACUGGAGGCUCAACCUCCAGACGUCGACCGAAACCAUCUGGCUAGAGUCCGGAAGAGGAGAGUGGAAUUCCUGGUGUAGCGGUGAAAUGCGCAGAUAUCAGGAAGAACACCCGUGGCGAAGGCGGCUCUCUGGGACGGUACUGACGCUGAGACGCGAAAGCGUGGGGAGCGAACAGG
This 252-nucleotide ribosomal RNA is filed under the name uncultured bacterium. Its description in RNAcentral is "partial 16S ribosomal RNA". It matches the Rfam family "Bacterial small subunit ribosomal RNA", at positions 524 to 776 of the family's 1533-position model. The record is from RNAcentral.